GGGAGGGUAGUUCAGUUGGCAGAACACCCGGUGGUACCCAAUCCCACUGGUUCGACCUCGGUUCGAGUCCGAGUCCUCUCA
Molecule: transfer RNA, 81 nt
Filed under: Muribaculaceae bacterium
Lineage: Bacteria; Pseudomonadati; Bacteroidota; Bacteroidia; Bacteroidales; Muribaculaceae
Description: tRNA-OTHER
Rfam family: tRNA
About the family: Transfer RNA (tRNA) molecules are approximately 80 nucleotides in length. Their secondary structure includes four short double-helical elements and three loops (D, anti-codon, and T loops).
Source: RNAcentral